This 74-nucleotide transfer RNA is filed under the name Paenibacillus roseus. It matches the Rfam family "tRNA". From Rfam's summary of the family: Transfer RNA (tRNA) molecules are approximately 80 nucleotides in length. Their secondary structure includes four short double-helical elements and three loops (D, anti-codon, and T loops). Further hydrogen bonds mediate the characteristic L-shaped molecular structure. tRNAs have two regions of fundamental functional importance: the anti-codon, which is responsible for specific mRNA codon recognition, and the 3' end, to which the tRNAs corresponding amino acid is attached (by aminoacyl-tRNA synthetases). tRNAs cope with the degeneracy of the genetic code in two manners: having more than one tRNA (with a specific anti-codon) for a particular amino acid; and 'wobble' base-pairing, i.e. permitting non-standard base-pairing at the 3rd anti-codon position. Lineage: Bacteria; Bacillati; Bacillota; Bacilli; Caryophanales; Paenibacillaceae. The record is from Rfam by way of RNAcentral.
GGGUCUAUAGCUCAGUUUGGUAGAGCAUCGGACUUUUAAUCCGAUGGUCGUAGGUUCGAGUCCUACUGGACUCA